UACGGGGGGUGCGAGCGUUGUCCGGAAUCACUGGGCGUAAAGGGCGCGUAGGUGGUUUGAUAAGGCUGUGGUGAAAGCCCGGGGCUCAACCCCGGGUCUGCCGUGGCGACUGUCAGACUUGAGGGCUCGAGAGGCAGACGGAAUUCCGGGUGUAGCGGUGGAAUGCGUAGAGAUCCGGAAGAACGCCUGUGGCGCAAGCGGCCACCUGGGCCUUAUCUGACGCUGAGGGACGAAAGCGUGGGGAGCAAACCGG
Molecule: ribosomal RNA, 253 nt
Filed under: uncultured bacterium
Lineage: Bacteria
Description: partial 16S ribosomal RNA
Rfam family: Bacterial small subunit ribosomal RNA
Source: RNAcentral